GGGUGCGAUCAUACCAACACUAAAUCCCAUCAGAACUUUGAAGUUAAGCGUGCUUAGGCGAGAGUAGUACUAGGAUGGGCGACCCCUUGGUAGUCCUCAUGUUGCACUCC
This 110-nucleotide ribosomal RNA is filed under the name Musa acuminata subsp. malaccensis (wild Malaysian banana). Lineage: Eukaryota; Viridiplantae; Streptophyta; Magnoliopsida; Zingiberales; Musaceae. The record is from RNAcentral.